RNAcentral lists this ribosomal RNA (406 nucleotides) under uncultured bacterium. RNAcentral's name for it is "partial 16S ribosomal RNA". It matches the Rfam family "Bacterial small subunit ribosomal RNA", at positions 29 to 526 of the family's 1533-position model. The record is from RNAcentral.
AUUGAACGCUGGCGGCAGGCCUAACACAUGCAAGUCGACCCCGCGGCGGACGGGUGAGUAAUGUCUGGGAAACUGCCUGAUGGCGGGGGCUAACUACUGGAAACGGUAGCUAAUACCGCAUACCAUCAGAUGUGCCCAGAUGGGAUGAGCUAGGAGGUGGGGUAACGGCUCACCUAGGCGACGAUCCCUAGCUGGUCUGAGAGGAUGACCAGCCACACUGGAACUGAGACACGGUCCAGACUCGUACGGGAGGCAGCAGUGGGGAAUAUUGCACAAUGGGCGCAAGCCUGAUGCAGCCAUGCCGCGUGGGGGAAGAAGGCCUUCGGGUUGUAAAGCACUUUCAGCGGGGAGGCGUUACCCGCAGAAGAAGCACCGGCUAACUCCGUGCCAGCAGCCGCGGUAAUUC